UGACCUCAAAUCAGGUAGGACUACCCGCUGAACUUAAGCAUAUCAAUAAGCGGAGGAAAAGAAACUAACAAGGAUUCCCCUAGUAACUGCGAGUGAAGCGGGAAAAGCUCAAAUUUAAAAUCUGGCAGAUUUUUGUCUGUCCGAGUUGUAACCUAGAGAAGUGUAACCUGUGCUGGACCGUGUACAA
Molecule: ribosomal RNA, 187 nt
Filed under: Amanita pallidorosea
Lineage: Eukaryota; Fungi; Basidiomycota; Agaricomycetes; Agaricales; Amanitaceae
Description: partial 28S ribosomal RNA
Rfam family: Eukaryotic large subunit ribosomal RNA
Source: RNAcentral